Tupaia belangeri chinensis (Chinese tree shrew) is the source of this 1068-nucleotide long non-coding RNA. RefSeq lists it as uncharacterized. The transcript is spliced from 5 exons. The record is from RefSeq and is a predicted model, not a curated record. Lineage: Eukaryota; Metazoa; Chordata; Mammalia; Scandentia; Tupaiidae.
AUAGAAGAGGAAGCCGCAGCUCACCACGUUUAUGUAAUCUGCUUAAAGCCAUGGGUCUAGUUAGCAGAGAUGCCAGAAUCAAAGUCCAGGUUUCUGUGGUUCCAACGCCCAUGUUUGACAUUACUCCGAAAUUUAUGACUGAUAAAUAUCCCGCUUAGGAUAUUUUUUCCCCCCAGUCUGAAUGCCAUCUCUGUUUAAAUCCUGUUUUCCAAUUGAAUUUGAGGUGUUCCUGGAUUCCUACCUUUCCCCACCCCAUCACUCCUUGUUUCUGUGUAGCGUGUUGAAUAAAUAAAUCCAAAUUGAUUCCUUAGUGACAAUUACUGUCACUGUCAUGUCAGGUUUCUCUGAUUGGGCCUGUGGACUCCGAGGGAGUGGAACACGAGCCUGUGGGCGGAGGCCGGCCGGGGCUGUCCUGGUGCUUACUGCACCCUGCGAGUUCACGGAUGGGUAAGUGGCGCCUAGGUAGGCCAGCAGCAUUCGUGGCUGGUCUCUUCUCGAAGAGAUGCUGGGAGCACUUUCCUUCAAUAAUGCACACUCUGUAAUAAUUUAACGUUUAGCGUUCACGAGUGCGGGUCAACUCAGUGAAUGGCAUUCCGUUUCAGUGGCGGUAGGAGUGAACAGCGGUGGCCAAUGUGUGGUGGUGUCUGCCACCCGCUGCAGUGUACUCUGGAGUUUGAAGUUACGGUAAGCCUGCGAUUUAUUUGAAGUUAUAUUCCCUAUUGGAGUUAAUGAAAUGAUAAUGCUGGGGAAAUUAAGUUGAUUCUUCACAACAGCAGGAGUAAAAUCUAGAUCUUCAAGAUCAUUGUCUUUGCAAGAUGAUACUUCAUUUUGGUAAUUAAGUGGAAGAACAGGCCAGUAUUCUUGUCAAAGCAAUCCCAGAUGUUUCUAUCGUUUAGUGGCACACAAUGUGCCUGGCCUCCUCGUUCAUUCCACGCUCACCCAUUGACUCAACCAGAGCAACAGCCAGUCCUGCGAGCUCCACAGAUAGUAUAAUAAGGGCCCCUUCUGACAUUCGAGUCCGUCCUCCUCUAACCACCUUAUCGCUGGCAGAGCCUACUCAGGACAGGA